UUAGAUGACCAAAUAACCCUAGAUAGACUUGACUUUGUCUAAUCUCAGAAGCCCAGCAGGGUUGGAUCAGGUUAGUCCUUGGUUGGGAGACCUAAGAUCUACUAGGUGCUUUAAG
This 115-nucleotide ribosomal RNA is filed under the name Oryzias latipes (Japanese medaka). Lineage: Eukaryota; Metazoa; Chordata; Actinopteri; Beloniformes; Adrianichthyidae. The record is from RNAcentral.